RNAcentral lists this long non-coding RNA (932 nucleotides) under Paramuricea clavata. Lineage: Eukaryota; Metazoa; Cnidaria; Anthozoa; Malacalcyonacea; Plexauridae. The record is from RNAcentral.
AAGUGGUGUAGUGGAGGGAGGGCUCAGGGGAGCUGAGCCCCCUUGUUGAAAUUUCAUGUUGACUUGGGGGGCUGCACGUUGGUCAAAUUUAGCAAAAUUUCUCCCACUCGUGCGGGUUCGUAUUGACAGCGGACAUCUUACAGAAAGUGGCCAGUUCUUUGAAAAAUGCAAAAGUUUCAAUUUUACACCGCAAGUCCACUGACAAUAUGAGCCUGCGAUCCUGGGAGAUAAUUUGCUGAAUGUGACCAGCGUGCUGAGUCCCCCUAUAUUUUGGCACGUUGCAUAAUUGAUAAUCUUAACAACGUGCGAAAACACACACAAAAAAUACCAGUAAACGAGAAUGUUCUUUAGAAUUGCAUCUCAUUUUCACUCAUCAUUUAACACAAUGAUUUUUGUAAUCUUUAUAUCGCCAUUUUUGUAAUCUUUAUAUCAUUUAGUACCACUAAAUUGUAAAUUUCGACAUACUAAAACGCUGUUUUCUGACCAUCAGAAUUCUGUCAAAUCUUCCCCAAAGUCCAGGAAAUGGCAUUUCAGAGACUCUAAAUUUAAAAAUUUCCUCGGGCCUUCGGUCCUCGCUUCGGCUUGUUUUUAAUAAGAAUAAUGUCAAAUGUUUGUCCCAGAAUUACUAGAAUAAACCCCAACAAAAUUUAGAAUUUCUAAAAUAUCUUAUUGUACCUCCCCUCCUCUCCCGCCAAUUCAGGGCACUUUGGAGAGCCCCCCUUGUUAACAUUCCAGGACUACACCACUAAUAGGCCUAUAAAUUUCACUUAAAGGGCCCUACAGUAAUUUUUUAGUCGAAAGCCACCUUAAGUAGGGGACUCCACGGAGAUUCGUUUGGCUGUAUCUUACAUGCAGUAUCCAUGAGUAUGAGUACUUUCGCACACAGAAAACGCAUGCAUACUGUGGUGCGCAUGUCAAGUAGCGACAAUAAC